GCGCUCUUAGUUCAGUUCGGUAGAACGUGGGUCUCCAAAACCCGAUGUCGUAGGAGAUGUCGUAGGUUCAAAUCCUACAGGGCGUG
RNAcentral lists this transfer RNA (86 nucleotides) under Pourthiaea villosa (oriental photinia). RNAcentral describes it as "tRNA-Trp". It matches the Rfam family "tRNA". Rfam says of the family: Transfer RNA (tRNA) molecules are approximately 80 nucleotides in length. Their secondary structure includes four short double-helical elements and three loops (D, anti-codon, and T loops). Lineage: Eukaryota; Viridiplantae; Streptophyta; Magnoliopsida; Rosales; Rosaceae. The record is from RNAcentral.